GCCCCCUUAGCUCAGCUGGAUAGAGCGUCCCCCUCCUAAGGGGAAGGUCUCAGGUUCGAAUCCUGAAGGGGGCGCCA
RNAcentral lists this transfer RNA (77 nucleotides) under Halomonas alimentaria. RNAcentral describes it as "tRNA-Arg". It matches the Rfam family "tRNA". From Rfam's summary of the family: Transfer RNA (tRNA) molecules are approximately 80 nucleotides in length. Their secondary structure includes four short double-helical elements and three loops (D, anti-codon, and T loops). RNAcentral also lists the same sequence under 18 other names. The record is from RNAcentral. Lineage: Bacteria; Pseudomonadati; Pseudomonadota; Gammaproteobacteria; Oceanospirillales; Halomonadaceae.